This is a long non-coding RNA of Brienomyrus brachyistius, 1321 nucleotides long. RefSeq lists it as uncharacterized. The record is from RefSeq and is a predicted model, not a curated record. NCBI's taxonomy places the organism in Eukaryota, Metazoa, Chordata, Actinopteri, Osteoglossiformes, Mormyridae. The transcript is spliced from 3 exons.
GAGAAACAACUUUUGUUACUUUGUUUAAGCAAGCUGUUGGUCGGAAGCCCCAGCCCAUGGCGAAAGCACUUCUCUACGUACCUGGUGAAUUUUACAAGGAAUAUAAAAGCAUAAAACGUUACUCCUUACUGAAUGCAGAGGGGAGUUUUAACCUCACUAUUUCUAACGUGGAGCCGUCAGAUUCUGCAGUGUAUUAUUGUGCUGCUGUGUUUCUUCAUGAGGUCACCUUCGGGAAUGGAACCUUUGUCAUAAUCACAGGUAAAGACUCCAACAGCAGGACUGUGGUACAGCAGCCUGUGUCUGACACAUUGCAGCCAGGAGACUCUGUGAGCCUGCAGUGUACGAUAGAGACUGGGAGCUGUGCAGGAGAACACAGUGUUUACUGGUUCAGACAUGGAUCAGGAGAAUCCCUUCCUGGAGUCAUUUACAGCCAUGGAAACAGCAGUGAUGAGUGUGAGAAGAGCCCUGAGGCUGGAUCUCCUACACGGAGCUGCGUCUACAGCCUCCCCAAGGGGAACCUCAGCCUCUCCGAUGCUGGGACUUACUACUGCGCUGUGGCCAUGUGUGGGGAGAUGCUGUUUGGGAACGGCACAUAGCUGGAUAUAGAUGGUAACACCCAGUGUGGGGAGAUGCUGUUUGGGAACGGCACACAGCUGGAUAUAGAUGGUAGCACCCAGUGUGGAGAGUAUAUCUGCUUCAAAGUUUUAUUUAGCUUAUUCUGCUAUUAAGACAUUUAUUUCUUUUUUUAAUGUAAUGAAUUUUCUAAUUUAAGUGCUUAAAUUAAAUUACACAGAUGUUAAUUUAAUAAUUAUCCAUCCAUCCAUCCAUUUUCCAAACCGCUUAUCCUAUUGGGUCGCGGGGGGUCCGGAGCCUAAUUUAAUAAUUAUUUCAAAUAUUAAUAUCCAUCCAUCCAUCCAUUUUCCAAACCGCUUAUCCUAUUGGGUCGCGGGGGGUCCGGAGCCUAAUUUAAUAAUUAUUUCAAAUAUUAAUAUAAAUUGUUAAAAUGCAAAAUACUAGAAGUUCAUGUUAAAAAUGGACUAUUUACAAAACAACUGCUGUAAUGUGUUAUCGAUUUGAUCUUUAACUAAUGUAAUGUAAGCAAAUGGGAAAUGUGUCUCUAUAUCAUUAUGCUGAAAUCUAUCUCUUUGUUACAGGCUUUCAGAAGCUGCUGGAUCCUCUUCACUCUGGCUUGCUGAUAGUUUUAUCUUGCAGCAUUAUUCUGAACGUUGCUCUCAUUUGUAUAAGAUGUAAACUGACCUGUACACACUGUGCAGAUGAAAAGAACAGUGAUAUAUCAAAAGUGGAAUGGUCACGCAAGCAA